UACUUUUGCUCUCGCUUUGGUUUUAGUUCACGAUUUCUCGUGAGCUGAAUUAAAAGGGAAACAGGUGUAAUUCCUGUACAGUCCCGCUGCUGUAAGCUCUUUAAACGUUUUGAACAACACUUUUGCCACUGAAAUUCUCAGUAAGCAGUGAACAGUGAACAGUAAACAGUCCCAUAUAGACUGAUAACUGAUAACUGAUAACUGAUAACUGAAAUCGGGAAGGCGUUCAAAACGGGAGUAAGUCAGAAGACCUGCCAGACAACAAUCAAUUUU
RNAcentral lists this non-coding RNA (273 nucleotides) under Paludibacter propionicigenes. The record is from RNAcentral. Lineage: Bacteria; Pseudomonadati; Bacteroidota; Bacteroidia; Bacteroidales; Paludibacteraceae. RNAcentral also lists the same sequence under 1 other name.